RNAcentral lists this unclassified non-coding RNA (301 nucleotides) under Funneliformis mosseae. RNAcentral's name for it is "partial contains 5.8S ribosomal RNA and internal transcribed spacer 2". The stretch from base 1 to 71 matches the Rfam family "5.8S ribosomal RNA", at positions 84 to 154 of the family's 154-position model. Lineage: Eukaryota; Fungi; Glomeromycota; Glomeromycetes; Glomerales; Glomeraceae. The record is from RNAcentral.
GUGAAUCAUCAAAUCUUUGAACGCAAAUUGCACUCCCUGGUAUUCCGGGGAGUAUGCCUGUUUGAGGGUCGUUAGAAUAAAAAUCGAGGCGUCGCUCUUUUUUUUAAGGGUGAUCGCGUCGGAAUUGAGCCGUCUUUCACAUGUUAAUUCAUGUCAAAUUGGCUUGAAAUUCAUCCAUCCGGUACGAUUAAAGCGUCUUUAAGAUCAAUCUUGAUUAAGAACGCGCGGUGACGUACCAUCUAAUGUAGUACGUUUGACCUGGGUCAUCAGGUUCAUUCAUAUACGAUACUCAAACUUUUGA